This 444-nucleotide ribosomal RNA is filed under the name uncultured bacterium. Its description in RNAcentral is "bacterial SSU rRNA". It matches the Rfam family "Bacterial small subunit ribosomal RNA", at positions 354 to 796 of the family's 1533-position model. The record is from RNAcentral.
GUGAGGAAUAUUGGUCAAUGGGCGAGAGCCUGAACCAGCCAAGUCGCGUGAGGGAAGACGGUCCUACGGAUUGUAAACCUCUUUUGCCGGGGAGCAAAGGGGCCAUUGAUGGCAGGAUGAGCGUACCCGGAGAAAAAGCAUCGGCUAACUCCGUGCCAGCAGCCGCGGUAAUACGGAGGAUGCGAGCGUUAUCCGGAUUUAUUGGGUUUAAAGGGUGCGCAGGCGGACUCGUCAAGUCAGCGGUAAAAAUUCGGGGCUCAACCCCGUCCUGCCGUUGAAACUGCGAGACUGGAGUGCGACAGAGGAAAGCGGAAUGCGAGGUGUAGCGGUGAAAUGCAUAGAUAUCGCGCAGAACUCCGAUUGCGAAGGCAGCUUUCCAUGUCGUGACUGACGCUGAGGCACGAAAGCGUGGGGAUCGAACAGGAUUAGAAACCCUAGUAGUCC